This 495-nucleotide ribosomal RNA is filed under the name uncultured bacterium. RNAcentral's name for it is "partial 16S ribosomal RNA". It matches the Rfam family "Bacterial small subunit ribosomal RNA", at positions 28 to 507 of the family's 1533-position model. The record is from RNAcentral.
GACGAACGCUGGCGGCGUGCCUAAUACAUGCAAGUAGAACGCUGAAGGAGGAGCUUGCUCUUCUGGAUGAGUUGCGAACGGGUGAGUAACGCGUAGGUAACCUGCCUGGUAGCGGGGGAUAACUAUUGGAAACGAUAGCUAAUACCGCAUAAGAGUAGAUGUUGCAUGACAUUUACUUAAAAGGUGCAAUUGCAUCACUACCAGAUGGACCUGCGUUGUAUUAGCUAGUUGGUGGGGUAACGGCUUACCAAGGCGAGGAUACAUAGCCGACCGGAGAGGGCGAUCAGCCGCCCUGAGACGGUGACACGGCCCAGAGUCCUACGGGAGGCAGCAGUAGGGAAUCUUCGGCAAUGGACGGAAGUCUGACCGAGCAACGCGGCGUGAGUGAAGAAGAUUGUCGGAUCGUAAAGCUCGGUUGUAAGAGAAGAACGAGUGUGAGAGUGGAAAGUUCACACUGUGACGGUAUCUGACCAGAAAGGGACGGCUAACUACGUG